Molecule: ribosomal RNA, 301 nt
Filed under: uncultured bacterium
Lineage: Bacteria
Description: partial 16S ribosomal RNA
Rfam family: Bacterial small subunit ribosomal RNA
Source: RNAcentral
CAGCAGCCGCGGUAAUACGAAGGGGGCAAGCGUUGUUCGGAAUUACUGGGCGUAAAGGGCGCGUAGGCGGCCAUUCAAGUUAGAUGUGAAAGCCCUGGGCUCAACCUAGGAAUUGCAUUUGAUACUGUUUGGCUUGAGUUCGGGGGAGGUGAGUGGAAUUCCCAGUGUAGAGGUGAAAUUCGUAGAUAUUGGGAAGAACACCAGUGGCGAAGGCGGCUCACUGGACCGACACUGACGCUGAGGCGCGAAAGCGUGGGGAGCAAACAGGAUUAGAUACCCCCGUAGUCCCUGUCUCUUAUAC